ACAGAAACUAGAGAAUAAAUUAGAGUAAAGUGGUAUUUAGAAGAGGGAUAAUCUAUCAUGAAUAGAGGCAAGGGAAACAUCAAACAAGUCUUUCAGGAUGUUUCAUUCACAUGCUCUCUGUUGGGGAUUUUUAAUGUAAAGUUAAGGGCAUCCAGUUAUAUCUGCAUACCUUGUGGUGAGGAUUCAGUCAUGUCUUUUGUCCACGAGUUCGGAUAUCUCCCAAAGACUAGUCACAAUUGCAUUUGCAUCCAUGUAUUUACUAGUCAUUGGUUUGGAUAUUGCCAUCAGACUCUGUCUGUGUUAACCUUUAG
Molecule: long non-coding RNA, 311 nt
Filed under: Daucus carota (carrot)
Lineage: Eukaryota; Viridiplantae; Streptophyta; Magnoliopsida; Apiales; Apiaceae
Description: long non-coding RNA (DCAR_LNC001374)
Source: RNAcentral